AUUGAACGCUGGCGGCAUGCCUUACACAUGCAAGUCGAACGGUAACGGGCCUUCGGGUGCCGACGAGUGGCGAACGGGUGAGUAAUACAUCGGAACGUGCCCGAUCGUGGGGGAUAACGAGGCGAAAGCUUUGCUAAUACCGCAUACGAUCUACGGAUGAAAGCAGGGGAACGCAAGGCCUUGCGCGGACGGAGCGGCCGAUGGCAGAUUAGGGAGUUGGUGGGAUAAAAGCUUACCAAGCCGACGAUCUGUAGCUGGUCUGAGAGGAUGAUCAGCCACACUGGGACUGAGACACGGCCCAGACUCCUACGGGAGGCAGCAGUGGGGAAUUUUGGACAAUGGGCGCAAGCCUGAUCCAGCCAUGCCGCGUGCAGGAUGAAGGCCUUCGGGUUGUAAACUGCUUUUGUACGGAACGAAAAGCCUUCUUUUAAUACAGGAGGGUCAUGACGGUACCGUAAGAAUAAGCACCGACUAACUACGUG
This 482-nucleotide ribosomal RNA is filed under the name uncultured bacterium. Its description in RNAcentral is "partial 16S ribosomal RNA". It matches the Rfam family "Bacterial small subunit ribosomal RNA", at positions 30 to 507 of the family's 1533-position model. The record is from RNAcentral.